This 484-nucleotide ribosomal RNA is filed under the name uncultured bacterium. Its description in RNAcentral is "partial 16S ribosomal RNA". It matches the Rfam family "Bacterial small subunit ribosomal RNA", at positions 30 to 507 of the family's 1533-position model. The record is from RNAcentral.
AUUGAACGCUGGCGGCAGGCCUAACACAUGCAAGUCGAGCGGAUGAAGGGAGCUUGCUCCUGGAUUCAGCGGCGGACGGGUGAGUAAUGCCUAGGAAUCUGCCUGGUAGUGGGGGAUAACGUCCGGAAACGGGCGCUAAUACCGCAUACGUCCUGAGGGAGAAAGUGGGGGAUCUUCGGACCUCACGCUAUCAGAUGAGCCUAGGUCAGAUUAGCUAGUUGGUGGGGUAAAGGCCUACCAAGGCGACGAUCCGUAACUGGUCUGAGAGGAUGGUCAGUCACACUGGAACUGAGACACGGUCCAGACUCCUACGGGAGGCAGCAGUGGGGAAUAUUGGACAAUGGGCGAAAGCCUGAUCCAGCCAUGCCGCGUGUGUGAAGAAGGUCUUCGGAUUGUAAAGCACUUUAAGUUGGGAGGAAGGGCAGUAAGUUAAUACCUUGCUGUUUUGACGUUACCAACAGAAUAAGCACCGGCUAACUUCGUG